UUAAUGCCGUAUGUGGUCUUGAGAGGGCAUCUGAUCAUGACUAAAGGUUCAGCGGUAACGGAUGGGGAUGCGUCCGAUUAGCUAGACGGCGGGGUAACGGCCCACCGUGGCUACGAUCGGUAGGGGUUCUGAGAGGAAGGUCCCCCACACUGGAACUGAGACACGGUCCAGACUCCUACGGGAGGCAGCAGUGAGGAAUAUUGGUCAAUGGGCGUAAGCCUGAACCAGCCAAGUAGCGUGAGGGAAGACUGCCCUAUGGGUUGUAAACCUCUUUUGUGCGGGGAUAAAGUGAGGGACGUGUCCCUUAUUGCAGGUACCGCACGAAUAAGGACCGGCUAAUUCCGUGCCAGCAGCCGCGGUAAUACGGAAGGUCCGGGCGUUAUCCGGAUUUAUUGGGUUUAAAGGGAGCGCAGGCCGUCCUUUAAGCGUGCUGUGAAAUGCCGCGGCUCAACCGUGGCACUGCAGCGCGAACUGGAGGACUUGAGUACGCACGAGGUAGGCGGAAUUCGUGGUGUAGCGGUGAAAUGCUUAGAUAUCACGAAGAACUCCGAUUGCGAAGGCAGCUUACCGGAGCGCAACUGACGCUGAGGCUC
RNAcentral lists this ribosomal RNA (593 nucleotides) under uncultured bacterium. RNAcentral describes it as "bacterial SSU rRNA". It matches the Rfam family "Bacterial small subunit ribosomal RNA", at positions 163 to 754 of the family's 1533-position model. The record is from RNAcentral.